AUUGAACGCUGGCGGCAGGCUUAACACAUGCAAGUCGAACGAUGAUUAUCUAGCUUGCUAGAUAUGAUUAGUGGCGGACGGGUGAGUAACAUUUAGGAAUCUGCCUAGUAGUGGGGGAUAGCUCGGGGAAACUCGAAUUAAUACCGCAUACGACCUACGGGUGAAAGGGGGCGCAAGCUCUUGCUAUUAGAUGAGCCUAAAUCAGAUUAGCUAGUUGGUGGGGUAAAGGCCCACCAAGGCGACGAUCUGUAACUGGUCUGAGAGGAUGAUCAGUCACACCGGAACUGAGACACGGUCCGGACUCCUACGGGAGGCAGCAGUGGGGAAUAUUGGACAAUGGGGGCAACCCUGAUCCAGCCAUGCCGCGUGUGUGAAGAAGGCCUUUUGGUUGUAAAGCACUUUAAGCAGGGAGGAGAGGCUAAUGGUUAAUACCCAUUAGAUUAGACGUUACCUGCAGAAUAAGCACCGGCUAACUCUGUGCCAGCAGCCGCGGUAAUACAGAGGGUGCGAGCGUUAAUCGGAAUUACUGGGCGUAAAGCGAGUGUAGGUGGCUCAUUAAGUCACAUGUGAAAUCCCCGGGCUUAACCUGGGAACUGCAUGUGAUACUGGUGGUGCUAGAAUAUGUGAGAGGGAAGUAGAAUUCCAGGUGUAGCGGUGAAAUGCGUAGAGAUCUGGAGGAAUACCGAUGGCGAAGGCAGCUUCCUGGCAUAAUAUUGACACUGAGAUUCGAAAGCGUGGGUGGCAAACAGGAUUAGAUACCCUGGUAGUCCACGCCGUAAACGAUGUCUACUAGCCGUUGGGGUCCUUGAGACUUUAGUGACGCAGUUAACGCGAUAAGUAGACCGCCUGGGGAGUACGGCCGCAAGGUUAAAACUCAAAUGAAUUGACGGGGGCCCGCACAAGCGGUGGAGCAUGUGGUUUAAUUCGAUGCAACGCGAAGAACCUUACCUGGUCUUGACAUAGUGAGAAUCCUGCAGAGAUGCGGGAGUGCCUUCGGGAAUUCACAUACAGGUGCUGCAUGGCUGUCGUCAGCUCGUGUCGUGAGAUGUUGGGUUAAGUCCCGCAACGAGCGCAACCCUUUUCCUUAUUUGCCAGCGGGUUAAGCCGGGAACUUUAAGGAUACUGCCAGUGACAAACUGGAGGAAGGCGGGGACGACGUCAAGUCAUCAUGGCCCUUACGACCAGGGCUACACACGUGCUACAAUGGUAGGUACAGAGGGUUGCUACACAGCGAUGUGAUGCUAAUCUCAAAAAGCCUAUCGUAGUCCGGAUUGGAGUCUGCAACUCGACUCCAUGAAGUCGGAAUCGCUAGUAAUCGCAGAUCAGAAUGCUGCGGUGAAUACGUUCCCGGGCCU
Molecule: ribosomal RNA, 1355 nt
Filed under: uncultured bacterium
Lineage: Bacteria
Description: bacterial SSU rRNA
Rfam family: Bacterial small subunit ribosomal RNA
Source: RNAcentral